Molecule: transfer RNA, 67 nt
Filed under: Californiconus californicus
Lineage: Eukaryota; Metazoa; Mollusca; Gastropoda; Neogastropoda; Conidae
Description: tRNA-Met
Source: RNAcentral
UGUAAAAUAAGCUAAGUAUAAGCUCUUGGGUUCAUACCCCAAAUAUGAAUGUAUUAUUCUUUUACAG